UAGGCCUAUACACGCAAACGGAUUGGGCUACGUGAAUCCAAAAUCCGGUGGGCGGGGCGACGCGUUGGCUCCGCGAGCGGCGGUGACGAACUCGAUGAUCGCAUCGCCAACCCGGCUUUUAGAUUCGAUGCGCGCGGCGGCGUCGGCUCGAACGACCCUACCCCUCCUCCUCUCCGCGUCGCCACGAAAAGCGAUCCCGUCCUUGGCACCUCCGCCGGCCCGCGGUCUGUCCCUCGCCCCCGGCCUCGGCCUUCCCUCCCCCUGCCGCCUCCCGCUACCUCGGAUCUCUUCGAUGGCCGUGGCCUCCGUCGCUGCCCCGGAGCGGCACGAUGCCGGGGAUUGGUACUCCGUCCCAGAUCUUAGCCUCCGUGACCACCGCUUCACCGUCCCCCUCGAUUACUCCGCCGCUGCCGGCUCUAGCAUCACCGUCUUCGCUCGCGAGGUCGUCGCUGUUGGGAAAGAAGAAGAACAACUGCCAUACUUAUUGUACCUACAAGGUGGACCUGGAUUUGAGAGUCCUCGGCCUACUGAGGCUAGUGGAUGGUUGAAGAGAGCAUGUGAAGAGUAUAGAGUUGUUUUGCUUGAUCAGCGAGGAACUGGUUUAUCAACUCCUUUGACAGUCUCAUCUCUUUCACAAAUCAUGUCUGCAACAAAAUUGGUUGAGUACUUGCAACAUUUUCGGGCAGAUAAUAUCAUUAAAGAUGCUGAAUUUCUUCGUAGCUGUCUUGUACCAGAUUCUGGAACCUGGACGGUGCUAGGGCAAAGCUACGGUGGCUUCUGUGCAGUUACCUAUAUGAGUUUUGCUCCAGAAGGCCUAAAGUCUGUUCUCCUAACCGGUGGGAUUCCACCAAUUGCAAAGGGUUGCACUGCAGAUGUUGUAUACAGAGCCUGUUUUGAACAAGUUGUGCAUCAAAAUGAGAAGUACUAUAAGCGGUUUCCUCAAGAUGUUAAAGUUAUUUGUGAUCUUGUAAAUUAUCUGGCCAAAGCUGAAGGUGGAGGGGUGUCUCUUCCAUCUGGAGGUAUUUUAACCCCAAGGGGAUUGCAAACUCUUGGACUUGCAGGGUUAGGUUCUGGUGGUGGUUUUGAACGUCUACAUUACAUGUUUGAAAGGGUCUGGGAUCCUGAACUAGUUCCAGGAACGGGGAAGCGGAUAAGUUACUAUUUCUUGAAGGCUUUUGAGAGCUGGAUAGACUUUGAUACAAACCCACUCUAUGCUCUUUUGCAUGAAUCAAUUUACUGCCAGGGAGCUCCAUCACAAUGGUCUGCACAUAAAAUAAGGGGUGAAUAUGAUAGCAUAUUUGAUCCAAUCAAAGCUGCAAAAGAAUGUCGUCCUGUAUUUUUUACUGGAGAGAUGAUAUUUCCAUGGAUGUUUGAUGAGAUUCAUGCUUUAGGACCUUUCACAGAAGCUGCUCAUUUGUUGGCUGAGAAGGAAGAUUGGCCACCAUUGUAUGACAUUAGUAGAUUAAACAACAACAAGGUUCCUGUUGCUGCUGCUGUUUAUUAUGAAGACAUGUAUGUCAACUUCAAACUUGCAAUGGAAACAGCUUCUGAGAUUGCUGGGAUCAGGCUGUGGGUGACAAAUGAAUAUAUGCACUCCGGACUUCGUGAUAAUGGUUAUCAAGUUUUUGAGCAGUUGAUUGGUAUGCUGCAAGGCAAGAAACCUUGGUUUUGAUUUCAGAAUGGAGCAAUGAUGGAUGAUGUGACUCCUUCGACUAGUAAUUUGCAUAUAUUUAUCAGAUGCAGUUCAUCUUAUGAUAGUCACAAAUGAAUUGUAAAGACCAGCUUUGACCGUCAAAGUUGCAUUAUUCACAUGGAUCACAUGUAAGUUGCAAUUCAUUUUGGAGCUCCAUUUCAAAUCAGAAGAGGUCAGUCCCAGUCUAGAAUGCACGAGGAUCAAGUUUGAGACACUGUAACCACAAAAGUUCAAGAGCAGCUUCUUAGGCCUCAGAGUUAAAAGAAGUUGGCAUGCAUAUUAAGGUGAUUGAGGUUUGUUGGCCGCAUUGUUUUUUUCUUUGGUUAUUGAUAACAGUAAUUCCUUAUAGGAAGAUUACAUAUAUCAACGGAAAUAGUAUCACGUGGCAUGGUGCUCUCUUCAAAUCGGAAUGUAGUUUUUGAAAAGGGUGGAGAGAAAGUGCAUCGGAUGGUUUGCAUAUGAAGAAAUAGAGAGUAUUGAUCUGUCGUGGUGGCAACGAGCAGCCGAAGCUAUAGGUAUUAUUACUGUAUAACAAUUUCUGAAUGGCUUGAUUUAUUGCUUUGGCUGUGUUUUUUUUUUUUCUUUUUAGUUUUCCUAAUGCAAUUUUUGUUAUAUAUGUGAGUUGAUCUCUUAACUAGGUUUUUCAUUGGAUUUAAUUGAGAUUUUAUA
This is an RNA transcript of Musa acuminata subsp. malaccensis (wild Malaysian banana), 2362 nucleotides long. RefSeq lists it as uncharacterized. The record is from RefSeq and is a predicted model, not a curated record. Lineage: Eukaryota; Viridiplantae; Streptophyta; Magnoliopsida; Zingiberales; Musaceae.